Molecule: transfer RNA, 542 nt
Filed under: uncultured Prochlorococcus sp.
Lineage: Bacteria; Bacillati; Cyanobacteriota; Cyanophyceae; Synechococcales; Prochlorococcaceae
Description: partial 16S-23S ribosomal RNA intergenic spacer
Rfam family: tRNA (bases 211-283)
Source: RNAcentral
CAGGGAGACAACAAAAUGUUAAAUAUUAAUUUUGUCACCUUAGGUCGAUCGGUAUCUCACAUUUUUAAUUUAUUAAGAAUUUUAUUUCCUAAGUUUUUUCUAGGUCACACCCAUUACUUUCCCUGGGCCAUUAGCUCAGGUGGUUAGAGCGCACCCCUGAUAAGGGUGAGGUCCCUGGUUCAAGUCCAGGAUGGCCCAUAUCUCUAUGUUGGGGGUAUAGCUCAGUUGGUAGAGCGCCUGCUUUGCAAGCAGGAUGUCAGCGGUUCGAGUCCGCUUACCUCCACUGAUUACCACCUCUUCCAUAUUUCAAAGAAGGGAAAUGUUUUGAGUUUUGAUCAAAUUCUGAACGAAUCUAGCUUCCUAAUAAAUAAUUAUUAAGAUGCUGGACUCAUUGAAUUAAAUUCAUUGUUUUCAGAGAACCUUGACAACUGCAUAGAUUAUUUUUAAAGACAAUAAGCAUCUUUGAUGAUGCAGAUUUAUUAUUUGUGCGAAUGCAUUAAUAACAAUUCUAUUAAGCUGAUGCUUCAAUUUUUGAAGUUAUU